Molecule: ribosomal RNA, 552 nt
Filed under: uncultured bacterium
Lineage: Bacteria
Description: bacterial SSU rRNA
Rfam family: Bacterial small subunit ribosomal RNA
Source: RNAcentral
CUACGGGAGGCAGCAGCAGGGAAUAUUGUGCAAUGAACGAAAGUUUGACACAGCGACACCGCGUGUGGGAUGACGGAUCUAGGUUUGUAAACCACUUUCAGGAGGGAAGAAAAUGACGGUACCUCCAUAAGAAGCCCCGGCCAACUACGUGCCAGCAGCCGCGGUAAUACGUAGGGGGCGAGCGUUGUCCGGAUUUAUUGGGCGUAAAGAGCUCGUAGGCGGUUCAACAAGUCGGUCGUGAAAGUUCAGGGCUCAACCCUGAAAUGUCGAUCGAUACUGCAGUGACUAGAGUCCGGUAGAGGAAGAUGGAAUUCCACGUGUAGCAGUGAAAUGCGUAGAGAUGUGGAGGAAUACCAAUGGCGAAGGCAGCCUCCUGGGAUAACACUGACGCUCAUGCACGAAAGCGUGGGGAGCAAACAGGAUUAGAUACCCUGGUAGUCCACGCCGUAAACGAUGUCAACUAGCUGUUGGACACCAUUGAGUGUCUUGUAGCGAAGCUAACGCGAUAAGUUGACCGCCUGGGGAGUACGGCCGCAAGGUUAAAACUCAAAU